GCCGCGUAGUUAGGUUGCAGUGCACUAGAGGGCAGUCUGAAGAGGUGAAAGGUCACGUUAUGUAAGCGAUGGUGACAGACGCGCGGGCCUCCAGCGGUGAACUUAAAAGUGCGGGACAGCGGGGAACCGAGAGGCCUUGAAAGCUCAAGGAGGGAGGAAGACAGGAAGACGUGUGCAUCUUGGCCUCUAGGAUGAACUCGUCACAUUGGCUUCCUGGCAAGUACUCAACUGUGCUUGUUGGAGGAGGAACUAGGGGCUUCCGUGUCGUUGAGGAUGGCUGUGGCACUUUUCAGCACACCUGGUCUUUGUUGUGUGACUUCUUGGCUCCAGGAAUCAAGAAAAGAAUUGAAGACACAGAUUUGUGAUUGCCCAAGCCUGAGGGGAAGGGAAAAUGGAGAAAGCUUGCUUACUACAAGGUUUUGCUUUGUUCUGCAGUUCUAGGGAACAACCCAGGGACAUUAAAAAUUGAGGUACAUUCUUAGCACUUUUUAAAAUUUUGAGACAGGAAUCUGGGCACAGUGGUGCAUGUCUAUAAUCCAAGCACUUGGAAGGCCGAGGCAGUGGGACUGCUGUGAACUCCCUAGGCUACAUAGGGAGUUCAAGGCCAGCCUAGAGUAUGAUUUACAAGUGCUUUUUCUUUUUUGGGGGAUCGAACUCAAAACCUUGCGCUUACCAGGCAGGUGCUUAGGCCACUGGGCUAAAUCCCUGGCCCCAGCCUAGACUAUAAAGUGAGGCCCUGACCAAAAAUUCUUUGAGAUAGGGUCUCAUUAAGUCUCCCAGGCAGGACUUCAGCAUGGUGACCCUCCUGCCUAUUUCCUGAAUAGCUAGGAUAAAAGGCAUGGGCCAUCAUUCCAGGCUUGUAUAAGGUUUUUGUGUGGUGUAAUGACAAAGUUCAGAGCUAUACAGUGGUGAUGACUACAUCAUGUACUUAGUAUCACUCAACUGUGCACUUCAGUUUAACAUGAAGCUGGGUGCAGUGGCCCAUGCCUGUAAUCCCAGCACUAGGGAGCCUGAGGCAGGAGGGUUGCAAUGAAUUUAAGGCCAGCCUGGAUUAUGUAGAGACCCUGUCUCAAAAAACCUGAAAGAAAGUUUUAAAUGGGUAUCUUACAUGUAUUUUACCACAAUUUCAAAAAGUAAAAUAACUCAUGAGUCUGUCUCAAGCACCUGGUUGCACUCUGAAUAAAGCAGGACUCAAAGGAGCUGCCAACCCCCAAGAGAGUCUCCAAGCCUUCAAGUGCAGAGCGCUUUGCAGUGGACAGCACAGGUGCUUGGCCACCCAGCCCUACCCACAGCCUCCGAGAAUGAAGAACUCAGAGACCAACAGGACAUAUUUCAAAUAGUUUAAUUUUAAAAAUAUUCUAUUCAGUGCUAAAAUAAGUCUUCACUUGCUGUUGCCCAUUUCCAUUUUCUUAAACUUCUUUUAAACAAAAAAUAAAAUCACAAAGUUCAAUUAA
Long non-coding RNA from Cavia porcellus (domestic guinea pig), 1454 nucleotides. RefSeq lists it as uncharacterized. NCBI's taxonomy places the organism in Eukaryota, Metazoa, Chordata, Mammalia, Rodentia, Caviidae. The record is from RefSeq and is a predicted model, not a curated record. The transcript has 3 exons.